CAAUUCUCCCCAUAGACAGCUCUCCUACCACUGCCCCUCAUCCCUCUAGCCCUGGGGCUGCAUUUCUAGAGUACACAAUCUGCUCCCACUCCACACAGGGGGAGACACCUUUCCAGGCCUGGCCAUAGGAAUAGAGCAUGCAUUCUGAAACACAGCUCAGAGUUUUCAGAAGUAUGCAAGAGUUGAUCACCGGAUGACUCAAUGUCUGCCCAGAUGUGGAAUGUUUGAAAGCUGUCUUCGGAUGAGAAUUCCUGCUCCCCUCACCCCGUCCAUGACUCCCCCUCCCUCAGGGCUGAAAUUGACCACCUCCCCUUACCACACAGCAGGGCUGGCUCUGGAUCAGAUCCUGACCCAUCCCCUGGUCAUCCUCUUCCAUCUUUCUCUUUCAGUCUUGAUUCCCUCCACUGGGCAGCCAUAUGGGCCCAGCUACCAGCCACUAACCAACCAACAGAAUGAACCUCCAGCUGAGCAAGGAGAAGGCCCCAGCACCAGCGCUGUCCCUCAGCUGGGUAAUCUCCUGACUGUGUUGCCUGACCUAUUGGAACCAAGGAUGAAGAUCCCAGUGUUGGGUGUUAUCAGAGCAGGGACCCAGGAGUGCCACCCACCAUUUAAUCCCAAGCUGCAGGGUUGAGGAAUGGCCAAGGGAGAAACAGCACAGCCCACUGGGAAGAUUCAGCUGCUCCUCAAGUGCCCUCCAAUGCAGAAGAAGCUCCUUGUUUCCAAGGAGCAGUUUCUUCCUGAAGUCCUCUUCCCACCUCGUCCACCAGAGCAAACCAAAGACAUUUCUUCUGGGAAAGUGCUCUCCAAGGGAACUGCUUCCCACUUGGUAGCCCCAGGAUACAAAGGCAGCAAAAGGGCCAAGCCAAGGGUGCAACACUUUGACUUUUUACCCCCCAUCACCUCGGUGUCCAAACACACAAAGACAACUAAAAAAGAAAAGCUCAGAUGGGAAGGAGGUUGGCAGGAACAUCCCUGUGGAACAAAAUGGAAAGAGGGCAAGGGCAGGGACAGAUAGAGAGCCAGCACCAAAACUGCCCAGGGGAAGCCCAAAGGCUAAGGAGAAGGAGAGAUCUGGAGAGAUGGCCAAAGCACCCCUUGACCAACAGCAAAGGAAAACCAUGCAGAAGAUUCACACUUGCCAUCUGGAGCUGUCCAUCCAACCCCAUCAGCCAAGGAAACCAGCAGGUACCAUGCCAGGCCACAGGCAGUUGAAAAUGCCUAAGGUCGUGCCGGGAAGGGGGAAAGCACGGCUGCUACUACCUGAAGCCAAAGCUGAGGACACAAAGAGGCAGAAAGUGGGGGGAGAGUCCAGUGGCUCUGCCCAGGCGGAAGGGCCAGCUGUGCCCCCGACUCCGAAGAGCAGCCUGGCCUGAAUGAUGCAGGACUCCGUGAAGGUGUUCCAUGCCCUGGGGGCACAUUCUGUACUGCACAAGAAUGACUCCCAGCAAAACCCACCAGCGCAGACAGAAAUCCUGGGUGGAACAUGCCCGAAAAAAGACCAUCGAUGUCCAUGGGAAGGCCACCAUGGGGAAACGUGGCUGAGCCUCCACCAAGGCCUUUGGGAGCCCUGCCAAGCAGACCAGCAGGGAAGGCAUCGCCCAGUUCCAUGGCCAGGCCAUCGGCUAUGCCAAUGGCCAACCUUCCACCUAGCUCAUUGGCCAACCCACAAUCAAUGCCAGUGUGGAGGACGCCGGGAUCCUGUCCCUAAAUGCUCCGGCCCUCCUCCCUUUCACAGCCCCGCUGUGGGAAUACGCAACAGCACGGUCUUGCUAGGAGGAACUUUGGCCAGUCCCAGCCGGCCCAUCAACCACAGCCACAGCCUUGGCAUCCCAGACCAACCCACCUACCCUUCCUCCUUGCCCACCAAGCCUCCAAAGAGCAUCUGGUCCUUCCACCUGGUCCCCAGAGCACUACAGUCUCAGCAGACCAGGAAAUUAAUAGGGCCACAUUCAUCCCUUGGAGGAUGCCCCCGGCCGACCUGGAAGUCUCCCGGCUCAUUACUGAGGAGCAGUGACCUGUCGGGGAGAUGAUGCGGCCUCGGGCUCAAAGAGCGAGGGAGGAGGCGGCUCAGUGGACAUCAGCCGGCCGAAAGCAAUAUUUUGUGGAGCGGGAGAAGGAAAUGAACACCUCCCUUAAGUAUGGCUACCCCUGGCAUCACUGAGAGGUCCUUUUGUGAACAGCUGGACAAACGUCUCUCAUCUGGGAUUGUUCAAGAGGAUUUCACUCCCUAAUUUCUCCCUGGGAAGAACCCUGAAAUCCAGGGCAUGUUUCGGUUUCUCUUUAUGGGAGCUCUGAAAAUCCAGAUAUAGGGAGAGAAUUUGCAGCACUUGCAAGCCACACAGAAAGUGCUUUGAAUUUGCAGCGCUUGCAAGAUUUUGCAGCACUUGCAAGCCAUACAGAACACACUUUGGAUCUGCAGCACUUGCAACACUUGCAAGCCACACUUCUCUGCAGCUGCCAGGGUCCUGGCCUCUGGGUGGAGCUAACAUCUUGAGCCCACAAUAUGUUUUGUUUUUUAGCACUAGUUUGUGCUUUUUCUUGUUAAAUCCAUUGAGUUUGUUUUAUGUUGGAGACUUGUCUCCUUAGUGUUUGUGAAAUAA
This is a long non-coding RNA of Hemicordylus capensis (graceful crag lizard), 2600 nucleotides long. RefSeq lists it as uncharacterized. Lineage: Eukaryota; Metazoa; Chordata; Lepidosauria; Squamata; Cordylidae. The transcript has 3 exons. The record is from RefSeq and is a predicted model, not a curated record.